This 253-nucleotide ribosomal RNA is filed under the name uncultured bacterium. RNAcentral's name for it is "partial 16S ribosomal RNA". It matches the Rfam family "Bacterial small subunit ribosomal RNA", at positions 524 to 776 of the family's 1533-position model. The record is from RNAcentral.
UACGGAGGGUGCAAGCGUUAAUCGGAAUUACUGGGCGUAAAGCGCACGUAGGUGGUUUUCUAAGUCAGCUGUGAAAUCCCCGGGCUCAACCUGGGAAUGGCGAUGGAUACUGGCUCGCUAGAGUGUGAUAGAGGAUGGUGGAAUUCCCGGUGUAGCGGUGAAAUGCGUAGAGAUCGGGAGGAACAUCAGUGGCGAAGGCGGCUCUCUGGGCCUUACCUGACGCUGAGGAGCGAAAGCGUGGGUAGCGAACAGG